ACGAACGCUGGCGGUAUGCUUAACACAUGCAAGUCGAACGAACGAGCCUAGCUUGCUAGGUGAGUUAGUGGCAAACGGGUGAGUAACGCGUGGGAAUCUACCCAGUAGUACGGAAUAACAGUUGGAAACGACUGCUAAUACCGUAUAGUAUCGAGAGAUUAAAGAUUUAUCGCUACUGGAUGAGCCCGCGUCAGAUUAGGUAGUUGGUGGGGUAAUGGCCUACCAAGCCGAAGAUCUGUAGCUGGUCUGAGAGGAUGACCAGCCACACUGGAACUGAGACACGGUCCAGACUCCUACGGGAGGCAGCAGUGAGGAAUAUUGGACAAUGGGCGAAAGCCUGAUCCAGCAAUACCGCGUGAGUGAAGAAGGCCUUCGGGUUGUAAAGCUCUUUCAGCAGGGAAAUAAUGAUGGUACCUGCAAAGAAGUUCCGGCUAACUCCGUGCCAGCCGCCGCGGUAAUU
RNAcentral lists this ribosomal RNA (460 nucleotides) under uncultured bacterium. RNAcentral describes it as "bacterial SSU rRNA". It matches the Rfam family "Bacterial small subunit ribosomal RNA", at positions 29 to 525 of the family's 1533-position model. The record is from RNAcentral.